Molecule: non-coding RNA, 466 nt
Organism: Carica papaya (papaya)
Lineage: Eukaryota; Viridiplantae; Streptophyta; Magnoliopsida; Brassicales; Caricaceae
Source: RefSeq, a predicted model, not a curated record
UGUGAGAUUUAAGCCUGGGAAAAAAUAGGAAAGGGGAUAAGGAUGGCCACAUGGCCACCAUGCACAUGGAUGGGGAGAUUCCCUCCCCCUCCGAGGCUGCCAUGUCAUCUAAAUUAAUCAAUCUCACCAUCCUUAUCCCUUCCCUAUUAUAUAAACACCCAAACAACACAUUUUCCCAUUUUUCAAUCAACCUAAACAAAAAAAAGAGAGAAAGACGAGAGGAGGUCACUAGAAAUAAGAAGAAGGUCUGCCACCGGAGCCACUGCACCGGAAGAAGAAAACUGGAAAAAGAGGAGGAAAGGCUGAAGUUUGAGAGGACAGAGAGUGCUCAUUUUGUAGUGAUCUUAAAUGAUAUGAAGAACAAGAAAAAGAAAACAAGUAAAUCUGUUACGGUUUUAAUACAACAGAAGAUUCAGACAAAAAAUGUUUGUUUCUUCUGUAAAGCUCUGGGGGACAAAAAAAAAAA